UACGUAGGGGACGAGCGUUGUCCGGAUUCAUUGGGCGUAAAGAGCUCGUAGGCGGUUCGAUAAGUCGGGUGUGAAACCUCCAGGCUCAACCUGGAGACGCCACCCGAUACUGUCGUGACUAGAGUCCAGUAGGGGAGCGUGGAAUUCCUGGUGUAGCGGUGAAAUGCGCAGAUAUCAGGAGGAACACCAGCGGCGAAGGCGGCGCUCUGGGCUGGAACUGACGCUGAGGAGCGAAAGCGUGGGGAGCGAACAGG
RNAcentral lists this ribosomal RNA (254 nucleotides) under uncultured bacterium. RNAcentral describes it as "partial 16S ribosomal RNA". It matches the Rfam family "Bacterial small subunit ribosomal RNA", at positions 524 to 776 of the family's 1533-position model. The record is from RNAcentral.